AUAAAAAAAAAAAAGAAAUUCCCAACGCUCUACUAUAGAGAUAACAUCAUAUAAUAAUUUAAUAAGAGAUAAAAAAGUAAAGUGCUCAUCAAUUAAGAAGUGAGAAUUUGUUGAAGUUCUUUCUGCAGUUUCAAAGUCGACGCCAUUAUUUCUUCCACACUAGUUGAUACAUUAUCAAAGAUGAACCUACCAUUAUCAUUCUCUGAGAGGAGCUAUUGAGUUGGAUACACAAGACUUCCAUUCUCAAGUUCUACUCAACAUAGAAAUUAUAGUCUUCGGUACUCCUUCUAGUAGCUGACAUCUUCGGCAGAUAGGUUGAAUUGAUGGGAUGCGAUGAUGAAACUUUUGCAGCACUGGAAGCUUUUCAUGGAAGUCUCUCCAGAGAAAAAUCUUAAUCUUCCUUGGGAUUUUCAAUUUCCACAGUUCUCGCCACAAAUUUCAUUGUGUCAUAAUCUCUGGACAAAAUUCAAUGGGAGGAUGCGAGAAUCCAUAAGUCACAUGAUUAGAAAUUUCAGAUGAAGUAACAACAUAAAGAUGUGGAGGAGCAAGCCAAGAAUCACUGAAGAUUCGGAUACUGGACCCAUCACCAACUCGCCAAACUAGCCCAUUUUCAACAACCUUAUACCCUUCCAAUAUGCUACGCCACCUCCACGAAGGUAUUGUUCUGAUCUCUGCAUUCAUUAUAGAAAUGUAUCGAAAAUAUUUACCUUUGAGGAGUCUAGAUAGGAGUGAUUGUGGCUGAGAGACAACUUUCCAACAUUGUUUUGCUAAUAGCGCCAAAUUCUGAGCCUCUAGGUCCUUAAAACCUAGUCCACCUUCCAAUUUCAGUCUUGUCAUAGUAUCCCAACUAAUCCAUGCCAUUUUUCGCUCUGUACCUUUUUUACUCCACCAAAAUUGGGAGAGUAUGUUGUGAAUCUCCCUAAUUAAAGUGUCAGGAAGACGGAAACAUGAUAAUGAAUGAUUUGGGAUAGCCUCCCCAAUAGUUUUGAUUAGAACAUGCCUGCCUGCAGAGGAGAGAAGUUUUAUUUUCCACCCUUGAACUCGCUUCCUCACCUUGUCCUUGAUUUCUCCGAAGGUGGCCUUUUUUUUAUUUUGGACUGUAGAUGGAAGACCCACAUAUUUAUCCUGUGCACUAAUAUGAACAAUUUCCAAUUUUCAAGUCACUAGUAAUCGAGUAGCGGGAGGAGUAUUAUUACUAAAGAAUAGAGUUGAUUUAUGCAAAUUAAAUUUUUGGCCACUGAAUCCCUCGUAUGACUGAAGAAGAUUGAGAAUAUUUUCACAACUGUUUUCUGACGCUUUGCAAAAAAGGAUUGAGUCAUCCACAAACAAUAAAUGAUUAACAGUAGGACAUCUUUGGUUGAUCUGAAUACCUUCAAUGAGACUGUUUUGCUCUGCCUUGUUUGGUAAAAAGGAUAAUCCUUCUGCAUAGAAAAAAAAGGUAGGGAGAUAGAGGGUCUCUUUGACGAAUACCUCUAUUUGGUUUAAAAAAAACCAAAAGGUUCAACAACGACAUAGUAAGAAACUGUAGUCACCGCCUCUUGUAUCCAACCAAUCCACCUAGAUUCAAAUCCCAACUUCUCCAAAAUGAACCAAAGAAAAUGCCACUCAAUACGAUAAUAUGCUUUACUCAUAUCCAAUUUAACAACCAUUUCACUCGAUAGGCCCCUCUUCUUUGUCUUUAGAUAGUGCAUACAUUCAUGAGCGACUAGGACAUUGUCUGAGAUCAAUCUACCCUUAAUGAAGGGACUUUGAUUAGGGCUGAUCAGCGAAGUUAUAAAUUUCUGUAACCGAUGGACUAGUACUUUAGAAAUAAUCUUAUACACAACUGAGGAAAGGUUGAUGGGUCUAACCUGUGUCAUAUCCUUGCAUCAAGAAUCUUAGGAAUGAGACAGAUUUGUGUAUGGUUAAACCUCUUUAGUAGUCUACCACUAACAAAGAAACUGCGGACAGCCUUAAAAAUAUCCCCCUACUAAACUCUAGUAGAAUUGAAAGAAUUUAGCCGUACAUUGAUAAACCCCGAAUUUAUGAUUUAUCUUGUGCUUAAUUUGGGAGAUUUUAUCAAAUUUUCUCACAUUUAUUCAA
This is a non-coding RNA of Arachis ipaensis, 2082 nucleotides long. Lineage: Eukaryota; Viridiplantae; Streptophyta; Magnoliopsida; Fabales; Fabaceae. The record is from RefSeq and is a predicted model, not a curated record.